ACUCAAAGGAAUAGACGGGGGCCCGCACAAGCGGUGGAGCAUGUGGUUCAAUUCGACGCAACGCGAAGAACCUUACCCAGGCUUGAACAGCGAGUGACCACUCCCGAAAGGGAGCUUCCGCAAGGACACUCGUAGAGGUGCUGCAUGGCUGUCGUCAGCUCGUGUCGUGAGAUGUUGGGUUAAGUCCCGCAACGAGCGCAACCCUUGUCUGCUGUUGCCAUCACGUUAUGGUGGGCACUCUGCAGAGACUGCCGGUGAUAAACCGGAGGAAGGUGGGGAUGACGUCAAGUCAGCAUGGCCUUUAUGUCUGGGGCUACACACGUGCUACAAUGGCCGGUACAAACCGUUGCAAAAGCGCAAGCUGGAGCUAAUCGGAGAAAGCCGGUCUCAGUUCGGAUCGUAGGCUGCAACUCGCCUGCGUGAAGUUGGAAUCGCUAGUAAUCGCGGAUCAGCACGCCGCGGUGAAUACGUUCCCGGGCCUUGCACACACCGCCCGU
This 497-nucleotide ribosomal RNA is filed under the name uncultured bacterium. RNAcentral's name for it is "partial 16S ribosomal RNA". It matches the Rfam family "Bacterial small subunit ribosomal RNA", at positions 899 to 1397 of the family's 1533-position model. The record is from RNAcentral.